CCGAGACUGGAGCCGGCGCGCGCGGCGGUGGGGGGAGGCGGCGGCACCGGGGCCGGGCCGGGCCGGGCCGGGCCGGGCCGGGCCGGGCCGGGCCGUGGCGACGGCGAUAGCGCUGGGCCGCGCCGCGCAGGUGCUGCCUCGCCGCCCUGCUCCUGGCUAACCAGCAGCAGUUCUUCAGUGGCAAGCUUUAUGUCCUUCUCUAGUAGCUAAAGCUGCCAGUUGAAGAACUGUUGAAUGUAGCCACUCUCUUCUCGUUACCGGGACCUUGGAUGUCAGCUGGACCUGUGCCCCAAGUGACUGGGACAAGCCAGUCUGCAGCCUCCUGUGGAUUUGAGGGCUGAGGAUGAGCCCGACCAGGAUGAAGAAGCCUCCAGACAGAGCCUUGGCUGGGGGAUUGCCAAGCAGCCCCGCCAGUAGGGCUCUCAAGCAGGGUUUCCCACACCAGUGGGGUGGCACUGAGCUGCCAGAUGACUAGAGAAAACCAAAAGAGGCAUUAAACUUUCUGUUUUGCUCAACA
Tyto alba (common barn owl) is the source of this 517-nucleotide long non-coding RNA. RefSeq lists it as uncharacterized. The record is from RefSeq and is a predicted model, not a curated record. Lineage: Eukaryota; Metazoa; Chordata; Aves; Strigiformes; Tytonidae. The transcript is spliced from 2 exons.